AACGCACAUUGCGCCCCCUGGUAUUCCGGGGGGCAUGCCUAUUCGAGCGUCAUUAUCACCCCUCAAGCCUAGCUUGGUGUUGAGACCUGCUGUCAAGGCAGUCUCUAAAAUCAGUGGCAGUGCUGUCAGGCUCUAAGCGUAGUAAAUUCAUCGCUAUAGACACCUGGUGGACACUCGCCAGAACCCCCCCAUUUUUUAAUGAUUGACCUCGGAUUAGGUAGGGAUACCCGCUGAACUUAA
RNAcentral lists this unclassified non-coding RNA (240 nucleotides) under uncultured Ascomycota. RNAcentral's name for it is "sequence contains ITS2". The record is from RNAcentral. Lineage: Eukaryota; Fungi; Ascomycota.